Molecule: ribosomal RNA, 492 nt
Filed under: uncultured bacterium
Lineage: Bacteria
Description: partial 16S ribosomal RNA
Rfam family: Bacterial small subunit ribosomal RNA (bases 64-492)
Source: RNAcentral
GGGGGGGGGGGGGGGGGGGGGGGGGGGGGGGGGGGGGAGGGGGGGGGGAGGAAGAGCGGGGGGGUGGGGGGGGGGAGUGGGGGAAGGGUGAGGAAAAGAUGGGAAGCUACUGUUUAGAGGGGGGUGGAGAAGGGGGAGUGGAGCGGAUGCCGCACACGACCUAGGAGUGAGAGGGUGGGAGGUUCGUAGCUGUCGCGAGGGAUUGGCGCGAUGUAGGAUUAGCGAGUGGGCGGGGUAAAGGGCCACCAAGGCGACGAUCCGUAGCUGGUGUGAGAGUGUGAUCAGCCACACUGGAACUGAGACACGGUCCAGACUCCUACGGGAGGCAGCAGUGGGGAAUAUUGGACAAUGGGCGCAAGCCUGAUCCAGCCAUACCGCGUGGGUGAAGAAGGCCUUCGGGUUGUAAAGCCCUUUUGUUGGGAAAGAAAAGCAGCAGGUUAAUACCCCGCUGUUCUGACGGUACCCAAAGAAUAAGCACCGGCUAACUUCGUG